Molecule: ribosomal RNA, 487 nt
Filed under: uncultured bacterium
Lineage: Bacteria
Description: bacterial SSU rRNA
Rfam family: Bacterial small subunit ribosomal RNA
Source: RNAcentral
AGAGUUUGAUCCUGGCUCAGAACGAACGUUGGCGGCAUGGAUUAGGCAUGCAAGUCGGGGGAAUCCCAGCAAUGGGGGAACCGGCGUAAGGGGCAGUAAGGCAUGGGUACCUACCCUGAAGUUCGGGAUAGCCAUCAGAGAUGGUGGGUAAUACCGGAUGAUGUCGUGAGACCAAAGAUUUAUCGCUUUGGGAGGGGCCCAUGUGAUAUUAGCUAGUUGGUGAGGUAAUGGCUCACCAAGGCUAAGAUGUCUAGCGGGUAUGAGAGUACGACCCGCGCCACUCGCACUGAGACACUGGCGAGACACCUACGGGUGGCUGCAGUCGAGGAUCUUCGGCAAUGGGCGAAAGCCUGACCGAGCGAUGCCGCGUGCGCGGUGAAGGCCUUCGGGUUGUAAAGCGCUUUAGUGGGGGAGAAAAACCCGAAAGGGUCUGAUCUAUCCCAAAAAUAAGCUCGGGCUAAGUUCGUGCCAGCCGCCGCGGUAAUAC